This 373-nucleotide ribosomal RNA is filed under the name uncultured bacterium. Its description in RNAcentral is "bacterial SSU rRNA". It matches the Rfam family "Bacterial small subunit ribosomal RNA", at positions 28 to 401 of the family's 1533-position model. The record is from RNAcentral.
GGUGAACGCUGGCGGCGCGCCUAAUGCAUGCAAGUCGAGCGUGUCCGUGGCUUCGGCCACAGGAAAAGCGGCAGACGGCUGAGUAACGCGUGAGUAAUCUGCCCUCCGGUGGGGUAUAACCUCGGGAAACUGAGGAUAAUCCCGCAUACGACCGUUAUCCCUUGGGAUGGCGGUGAAAGGCUCCGGUCGCCGGAGGAGGAGCUCGCGUCCUAUCAGGUUGUUGGUGGGGUAAUGGCCUACCAAGCCGAUGACGGGUAGCUGGUCUGAGAGGAUGACCAGCCAGAGGGGGACUGAGACACGGCCCCCACUCCUACGGGAGGCAGCAGCAGGGAAUCUUGGGCAAUGGGCGAAAGCCUGACCCAGCGACGUCGCG